This 448-nucleotide ribosomal RNA is filed under the name uncultured bacterium. Its description in RNAcentral is "partial 16S ribosomal RNA". It matches the Rfam family "Bacterial small subunit ribosomal RNA", at positions 43 to 523 of the family's 1533-position model. The record is from RNAcentral.
CAGGCUUAACACAUGCAAGUUGAACGGUAUUUUUAGUGUUUACACUAUUAAGAGAGUAGCGCACGGGUGAGUAACACGUGGGAACGUAUCAUUUAGUGGGGGAUAACCUGAGGAAACUUUGGCUAAUACCGCAUGAACCCUGAGGGGUAAAGAUUUAUCGCUAGAUGGGCGGCCCGCGGCAGAUUAGGCAGUUGGUGAGGUAACGGCUCACCAAACCUACGAUCUAUAGCUGGUCUGAGAGGAUGAUCAGCCACACUGGAACUGAGGCACGGUCCAGACUCCUACGGGAGGCAGCAGUGAGGAAUAUUGGGCAAUGGAGGCAACUCUGACCCAGCCAUGCCAUGUGAGUGAAGAAGGUCUUCGGAUUGUAAAGCUCUUUCGGAUGUGAAGAUGAUGACUGUAGCAUCUAAAGAAGCCCCGGCAAACUUCGUGCCAGCAGCCGCAGUAA